GCUGGUUUCCGAUGGUGGCUUAGAGUGCGGUCCUCCAUCUAGCACCAUUUGAAAUCAGUGU
MicroRNA precursor from Gadus morhua (Atlantic cod), 61 nucleotides. Ensembl annotates it as gmo-mir-29b-1. Its record names the gene gmo-mir-29b-1. The record is from Ensembl. NCBI's taxonomy places the organism in Eukaryota, Metazoa, Chordata, Actinopteri, Gadiformes, Gadidae.